This 253-nucleotide ribosomal RNA is filed under the name uncultured bacterium. Its description in RNAcentral is "partial 16S ribosomal RNA". It matches the Rfam family "Bacterial small subunit ribosomal RNA", at positions 524 to 776 of the family's 1533-position model. The record is from RNAcentral.
UACGAAGGGGGCUAGCGUUGCUCGGAAUCACUGGGCGUAAAGGGUGCGUAGGCGGGUUUUUAAGUCAGGGGUGAAAUCCUGGAGCUCAACUCCAGAACUGCCUUUGAUACUGAAGAUCUCGAGUCCGGGAGAGGUGAGUGGAACUGCGAGUGUAGAGGUGAAAUUCGUAGAUAUUCGGAAGAACACCAGUGGCGAAGGCGACUCACUGGACACGUAUUGACGCUGAGGUGCGAAAGCGUGGGGAGCAAACAGG